Molecule: long non-coding RNA, 451 nt
Filed under: Homo sapiens (human)
Lineage: Eukaryota; Metazoa; Chordata; Mammalia; Primates; Hominidae
Description: non-protein coding lnc-USP6NL-18:1
Source: RNAcentral
AAACAUCACCCGUUCCCCUUCAAACUCUGGAAAUAAAAAAAAUUUAAAGAGAAAUUUGCAUGAUGCUAAGAAAACAAAUUAUGCAGUUUUUCAAAAUUCAGGACUCCGUUUCCGACUUGGAAACCUGAGAAGAAGAGAGAUGUGAAUGUGUGGUUGAGACAGUUUUGAUAAUACCAUCACUCUUUUUAAAGAAAAUGUAAAAACAUGGCCCAUAUAUAUAUUGUAUGGAUAGAAUAAAUAUCAUUGACACAUUAUGAAAGGCAUCUUAAGAAUACAUUUGGCAGGUCAGGCUAGUAAUACCUCUUGACAUUGUGUUUAAGUAUUAACUUAUCAGAGUUAGAGGAUUUACCUAGAAAUACAACCAUAAAAGUUGUUAAGAUCCACAUAGUUUUGGGAUUUUUCAGAAUCCUUUAGAUAGCACUUAAUAUCUGUAGUGUGAUAUUCUGUCAGA